UAGAGGUAAUGCACAAAUAGGUUCCAAGUAUGCAAGGAGGUAUGAUUCUUUGGAAUAUAUGGGAGACGAGUAGCUAUAAAUGCUUGUACUGUAAUCAUCCCCAUGCUUCAAAUGCAACACUAUCAUUGCAUGAGUACAUGGCAAUUUCAUCAAGUUAUACUUCCUGCAAGAGCAUGGCAUUUUCGAUAGAUUAACUUUGGCGAAAGGAUCACAACCAAGCACAGUGAAUUAGUCGAUGCUUCCGUUUAUGUUUAUCACAUACAAUUUGCCGCCCUCGAUCAUGUUUUUCCUCA
RNAcentral lists this long non-coding RNA (293 nucleotides) under Capsicum annuum. RNAcentral describes it as "long non-coding RNA (CANN_LNC000809)". The record is from RNAcentral. Lineage: Eukaryota; Viridiplantae; Streptophyta; Magnoliopsida; Solanales; Solanaceae.